CUGGAGGUCUGCACCACCUUCCACUGCAGCACUUCAGCAAAGGGCAGAGUCAGAGCCAAAACCACUCGCUUAGACGAUGGGGAAGCCAAGAGGUGCUCUGUUGCCUGUUAUAGCCAGGCCAUAAGACAGACUCAAGUUAACAGAAGACUACACAGGGCCCACACUGGGCAGCCUUGCCAGAGUUGGAAGCAUUUUGGAGCCUCAGUCGGUAACUUGGAGCAUAUCCUCUGGCAGCUCAAAGCAACAUUGGAUCACAACAUUCCACACACAGAAGGCAAUUGUGUGGUAAUGGGAAACUCAAACAGAUAAGGAAUAAGCAAGAAUGUCCCUGAAAACCUUGCCGUGUCAGUCCAACUGCAGGUGGUGGACUAGCGGGAAGGGGCUGGGACACAGUGAAUGAGGAAACUUAGCUGUCUAAGCAAUCAGGCCAUCUACUCCCGAACCUUCAUGCCUACAAGAGGGAUCCAAGCUUCACCUACUUUUGACUCUACAGAUGUAAACAGGAAGGGCCUCCUCCGCCUCUCAGGAAUGCAGAGGUAUCCACGGCCCACAUUCCAACUCAAAGGCAGCAGGGGAAAUGAGCGGACUGCUCAGUAUAAGGCCUAGAUCCUGAGACACGAUGUAGACUAGGUCAGCAGUGUGGACAGUGUUAGCU
RNAcentral lists this long non-coding RNA (655 nucleotides) under Rattus norvegicus (Norway rat). Its description in RNAcentral is "long non-coding RNA NONRATT012736". The record is from RNAcentral. Lineage: Eukaryota; Metazoa; Chordata; Mammalia; Rodentia; Muridae.